UACGUAGGGUGCGAGCGUUGUCCGGAAUUAUUGGGCGUAAAGGGCUCGUAGGCGGUUUGUCACGUCGGGAGUGAAAACUCGGGGCUUAACCCCGAGCCUGCUUCCGAUACGGGCAGACUAGAGGUAUGCAGGGGAGAACGGAAUUCCUGGUGUAGCGGUGAAAUGCGCAGAUAUCGGGAGGAACACCGGUGGCGAAGGCGGUUCUCUGGGCCUUACCUGACGCUGAGGAGCGAAAGCGUGGGGAGCGAACAGG
RNAcentral lists this ribosomal RNA (253 nucleotides) under uncultured bacterium. RNAcentral's name for it is "partial 16S ribosomal RNA". It matches the Rfam family "Bacterial small subunit ribosomal RNA", at positions 524 to 776 of the family's 1533-position model. The record is from RNAcentral.